AGUGAACGCUGGCGGUAGGCCUAACACAUGCAAGUCGAACGGCAGCACAGUAAGAGCUUGCUCUUACGGGUGGCGAGUGGCGGACGGGUGAGGAAUACAUCGGAAUCUACUUUUUCGUGGGGGAUAACGUAGGGAAACUUACGCUAAUACCGCAUACGACCUACGGGUGAAAGCAGGGGAUCUUCGGACCUUGCGCGAUUGAAUGAGCCGAUGUCGGAUUAGCUAGUUGGCGGGGUAAAGGCCCACCAAGGCGACGAUCCGUAGCUGGUCUGAGAGGAUGAUCAGCCACACGGGAACUGAGACACGGUCCAGACUACUGAGGGAGGCAGCAGUGGGGAAUAUUGGACAAUGGGCGCAAGCCUGAUCCAGCCAGACCGCGUGGGUGAAGAAGGCCUUCGGGUUGUAAAGCCCUUUUGUUGGGAAAGAAAAGCAGCAGGUUAAUACCCCGCUGUUCUGACGGUACCCAAAGAAUAAGCACCGGCUAACUUCGUG
RNAcentral lists this ribosomal RNA (492 nucleotides) under uncultured bacterium. RNAcentral's name for it is "partial 16S ribosomal RNA". It matches the Rfam family "Bacterial small subunit ribosomal RNA", at positions 29 to 507 of the family's 1533-position model. The record is from RNAcentral.